RNAcentral lists this ribosomal RNA (499 nucleotides) under uncultured bacterium. Its description in RNAcentral is "bacterial SSU rRNA". It matches the Rfam family "Bacterial small subunit ribosomal RNA", at positions 28 to 548 of the family's 1533-position model. The record is from RNAcentral.
AACGAACGCUGGCGGCGUGGAUAAGACAUGCAAGUCGAACGAGAGAAUUGCUAGCUUGCUAAUAAUUCUCUAGUGGCGCACGGGUGAGUAACACGUGAGUAACCUGCCCCCGAGAGCGGGAUAGCCCUGGGAAACUGGGAUUAAUACCGCAUAGUAUCGAAAGAUUAAAGCAGCAAUGCGCUUGGGGAUGGGCUCGCGGCCUAUUAGUUAGUUGGUGAGGUAACGGCUCACCAAGGCGAUGACGGGUAGCCGGUCUGAGAGGAUGUCCGGCCACACUGGAACUGAGACACGGUCCAGACACCUACGGGUGGCAGCAGUCGAGAAUCAUUCACAAUGGGGGAAACCCUGAUGGUGCGACGCCGCGUGGGGGAAUGAAGGUCUUCGGAUUGUAAACCCCUGUCAUGUGGGAGCAAAUUAAAAAGAUAGUACCACAAGAGGAAGAGACGGCUAACCCUGUGCCAGCAGCCGCGGUAAUACAGAGGUCUCAAGCGUUGUUCGG